Molecule: long non-coding RNA, 278 nt
Filed under: Medicago truncatula (barrel medic)
Lineage: Eukaryota; Viridiplantae; Streptophyta; Magnoliopsida; Fabales; Fabaceae
Description: long non-coding RNA (MTRU_LNC000989)
Source: RNAcentral
GUAAAUCUGUCACAAAAGCAUCUACAUAAUUUGUCAGCAAGAAAUAUUAAAUUUUGAACACAUUUUAUAUUAUAAUUUGAGAUGAAGAGUUAUUAUUGUUUUUUUGAACAAUGAAGAGUUAUUAUUGUUGAAAGUUCCAUACCGAAUAUUGACCUAACCUGAAUAGUGGUUAUAAGUGGACAUCCCUUAUCUUACAAACUGGAUUUCUGAGGAUGAGUUAGAACCACUUCAUGUUCUACUUAUUUGGUGUUUGAACUCCAAAGUAAUUGAUAUGGUUG